AACCGUUGAAAUAUGGUAUUCGUAUUCUUUCUAAUUAUUGAAAUUGAUUCUGUAUAGGAUUGUGGAUGUUUGAUCAUGGGAUAUCGCGAUAUGAUCUACGAAUAGAAUUUUUGGAAGAAAAUUUAUAGAAUUAUAUGGAUUUAUUGAAAUGCGUUCGAGGUAAGUAAUGUUUCACUUUUUCUAGAUUUAUCGACAAAUUAUAAUGUAUUCUUCUGACAUGAUUUGUGAAACGAUGCAUGAAUUGGAUGAAUAGUAUUUUGUUAUGAAAAUAUCUUAUUUGAAAUGUUAUGAUGAAGCAUGAUUGAAUAUAUUGAUUUCAUAAUGCAUUAUAUUGAUUGAUUUCGAUACUACAUGAUUAUAUGUUUUAUUAUCAAAAUUAGAAUAUGAAACAUGAUUUAUGAAGAAUUAUGAUAUAAGAAACAAUAAGAAUUGACAACCUGACUAUGUAAAGGACCCUGCCAAUGGGGGCAUGUACAUUAGCAAUUGAUUGUCCUGAGGGUUUAUGUCACCAGCGAGACCGGCGACAUGUCGCCAGAGAGACCAGCGACAAACCGCCAGCGAGACCAGCGGUUCCAAAGGACAUGGCUGCCAGAUGAUUCACAGCCUACCGCAAGCAGAUAUGCGGUAUUAUGAUCCUGCCACAGGAAAAAUAUGGUCAUAGCUCAUGGUUGACGAAAAAAAAUUGAAGAACAAAAGAAAUUGAAAUUUGGAAAGAAACUUGAAUUUUCGAAAAAGAAAUAAAUUUGGCAUGAAUUAUGUUGCAUAAUUGAAAUUGAUUUCGAAUUGAUGAACUCUAUAUGCUUAUUUU
This 808-nucleotide long non-coding RNA is filed under the name Elaeis guineensis (African oil palm). RNAcentral describes it as "long non-coding RNA (EGUI_LNC017468)". The record is from RNAcentral. Lineage: Eukaryota; Viridiplantae; Streptophyta; Magnoliopsida; Arecales; Arecaceae.